This 506-nucleotide ribosomal RNA is filed under the name uncultured bacterium. Its description in RNAcentral is "bacterial SSU rRNA". It matches the Rfam family "Bacterial small subunit ribosomal RNA", at positions 25 to 518 of the family's 1533-position model. The record is from RNAcentral.
CAGGAUGAACGCUGGCGGCGUGCUUAACACAUGCAAGUCGAACGGAGUAUUGACGCUGAGGAGUGGAGAGCUUGCUCAAAGCAAAUCUUGUCGAUACGUUAGUGGCGGACGGGUGAGUAACGCGUGGGUAACCUGCCGUAUGCAGGGGGACAACAGUUGGAAACGACUGCUAAUACCGCAUAUGCACACAGUACCGCAUGGUACAGGGUGGAAAGAAUUUCGGCAUACGAUGGACCCGCGUCUGAUUAGCUAGUUGGUGAGGUAACGGCCCACCAAGGCGACGAUCAGUAGCCGGCCUGAGAGGGUGAACGGCCACAUUGGGACUGAGACACGGCCCAAACUCCUACGGGAGGCAGCAGUGGGGAAUAUUGCACAAUGGGGGAAACCCUGAUGCCAGCGACGCCGCGUGAGUGAAGAAGUAUUUCGGUAUGUAAAGCUCUAUCAGCAGGGAAGAAAAUGACGGUACCUGACUAAGAAGCCCCGGCUAACUACGUGCCAGCCGCCGC